AAAGAUGUAUAAUCCAGCUGGAACUGAGAAGCCCCUUCCAAUGAGUAAAUUUUGUCAACACGACAAAGAAUGAAAAUGUUGGAAACCUACAAAAUUUUUGAAAGGAAAACUUUCCAACCCCCAAGUCACUGGAUACAGAUAACUUGCCUAAGGAUUGUGUGUAAUAGGAGACUCCAGAAGGAGGUCAGCAAAGCAACCAGUCUGAGUGACAUGGGCUGGAGAUUAAAUGCCAGCUGACCACCCUUGAAAUGGGAAUUUCUGAAGUAGACUACUGACUGAUUGUUAAGCUUGAAAUAACAUAUUCCAAAUAUCAGACCCUCAGUGAAAUUUGGAACCAUCAUCCACUGCAAAAAAGAAAUUUGCUUUCUUCUUUAAAAGAGAAAAAACAGACAGUCUGAAUUAAAUGAAAACAAAGAUAUAAAAGAUUUUGAAGACUAAAUAGAAUUACAAAGAUGGCUGAGACUGGAAGAACCAAAGUCAUGGACAGAGGAAAGUCUUAUUGAGCUAACUUUAAUUUCAACAUUUCAAGAUCCUGGAACUGAUAAACAAAAGGUCAAGCCUAGGACACACUUCUCGAAGUCCCUACAUGCUAUUGUUCUAUUUAACAUUGCAUAAAAACACACCUGAAUGAGCUAUAGGAAUCAAGCUUUAGCUCCCUUUGCAAGAUGACAAUCUCUGGCCUUGAGAAGACUUAUGAUUUUCUCCUUAUAUGGCUCGAGACAAAAGCAUAACACAGGGACAGCUUGGAAACCUGAAGAUGAAAGCUAACUGUGUGAAUGAAGUGUUGCUGCCUUAGACAAGAUAAUCUGCCCAUCAAAGCAAAAAAGCAUAAUUCUGUAUGCCUGGGAUGUCUCCAUAUCCAAGGAAAGAAAAGGAUCUGAAAGAAAUUGUUGACAUUCUGACUACUUAAAGUAGAUGCCUUGUUAAAUGAGAUUUCUGCUGAGACCAGGAUGCUCUGUAUGUGCCUAUCAGUUCAAAAAUAUAAUGAAAGGAAAGUGCUCUGUGUUUCCUGUUGACUUUCAUACCCAAAGAUCAAUUUAAUGGAAAAUAAAAAGCUUCCAUUCAUGGGAUACGUCUUUGUAUUAAAAAGGAUUAAAUAAAGAAAGUUUGGAACUUUAGGAGCUAUUAGCAUUAUUAUGUGUG
Molecule: long non-coding RNA, 1143 nt
Filed under: Homo sapiens (human)
Lineage: Eukaryota; Metazoa; Chordata; Mammalia; Primates; Hominidae
Description: HSALNT0242695
Source: RNAcentral